GAUUGAUGGUGCUUGCACCUGAUUGACGUUGGAUCACCAGUGAGUGGCGGACGGGUGAGUAACACGUAGGUAACCUGCCCCGGAGCGGGGGAUAACAUUUGGAAACAGAUGCUAAUACCGCAUAACAACAAAAGCCACAUGGCUUUUGUUUGAAAGAUGGCUUUGGCUAUCACUCUGGGAUGGACCUGCGGUGCAUUAGCUAGUUGGUAAGGUAACGGCUUACCAAGGCGAUGAUGCAUAGCCGAGUUGAGAGACUGAUCGGCCACAAUGGAACUGAGACACGGUCCAUACUCCUACGGGAGGCAGCAGUAGGGAAUCUUCCACAAUGGGCGCAAGCCUGAUGGAGCAACACCGCGUGAGUGAAGAAGGGUUUCGGCUCGUAAAGCUCUGUUGUUGGAGAAGAACGUGCGUGAGAGUAACUGUUCAUGCAGUGACGGUAUCCAACCAGAAAGUCACGGCUAACUACGUGCCAGCAGCCGCGGUAAUACGUAGGUGGCAAGCGUUAUCCGGAUUUAUUGGGCGUAAAGCGAGCGCAGGCGGUUACUUAGGUCUGAUGUGAAAGCCUUCGGCUUAACCGAAGAAGUGCAUCGGAAACCGGGCGACUUGAGUGCAGAAGAGGACAGUGGAACUCCAUGUGUAGCGGUGGAAUGCGUAGAUAUAUGGAAGAACACCAGUGGCGAAGGCGGCUGUCUGGUCUGCAACUGAC
This 706-nucleotide ribosomal RNA is filed under the name uncultured bacterium. RNAcentral's name for it is "bacterial SSU rRNA". It matches the Rfam family "Bacterial small subunit ribosomal RNA", at positions 68 to 744 of the family's 1533-position model. The record is from RNAcentral.